UGUCACAAAACAAAAAAAAUAUUGAUCAAAUCAAACCAUGGAGUUGUUGAAUCAAUCUGGAAAACAACCAAACAACACAAACACUGUCAUUGUUACUGUCCCAAAAAAUACAAGCUCCAUAUCUAAAGCCUCAAUCUCCAACUAAAUCCAUGAAGCACAUCAAAUCUACAAAUUGAAGGCAGAAAAACAAAACACACACUUCAUCAUCCAUAAUCUCUACAAAUCCCACCAUCACCUUCAAUCUUCAUCAAUCAAAAAUCAUCAACCACCACCAUCUAAAAAUCAAAAUAACAAACCCGCAACAAAAAAACAAAAAAAGAAACAAAAAGAAGAAAGAAAAUCGGUCAAAAUCACCAUAAGACUUGAGUGCUUCAACAUCAAAUGUUCGUAUGUUGUGAGAGAGAUUCAUGCCCUGCAGCCAAUUCCCUAUGUAAUUUUUCUUCUCUAUUGUCUUGUUGUUGUUGAUUGUCCAAUUUUGUUUUCAAAACACCGAACUAUCUAGUAAAACGAUUGUCGGUGGCUAUGAUGCCUGUUCACAACACCCAAUUGUUCAGUCAAAUGGGCGUUGGUGGAUGUGAUGACUUCAUGUGUGCCGCUUGAAUGGACUCAUCAAGGUCUUUGUUGACAGGGUUUUAAGGUUUAUGGGCCAUUGAGUCAAGUGGGUUAUGCUAGAAAACUAAAGGCAAGAAAGAAAAUAAAAUUGCAACUUCAUUUCUAACCUCUAAGAGCCCGUUUGGUGCACAGG
This 745-nucleotide long non-coding RNA is filed under the name Trifolium pratense (red clover). RNAcentral describes it as "long non-coding RNA (TPRA_LNC013986)". Lineage: Eukaryota; Viridiplantae; Streptophyta; Magnoliopsida; Fabales; Fabaceae. The record is from RNAcentral.